Long non-coding RNA from Bubalus bubalis (water buffalo), 657 nucleotides. RefSeq lists it as uncharacterized. The record is from RefSeq and is a predicted model, not a curated record. The transcript is spliced from 3 exons. NCBI's taxonomy places the organism in Eukaryota, Metazoa, Chordata, Mammalia, Artiodactyla, Bovidae.
CGCCGCCCGGGCGGAGUUUCCACCGGCGGCGGUGCUGUCUGUGGCCUCCGCCGUAGGCCUGGGCGCGGAUGUGGAGGCGAGAGGAGAGGGAGGGGAGAGCUUUCUGAAGCCGAAGGCUCGGCGCUCCGGCGCCCGGGGCUGGGGGAGGCUGCGGGGCGGCCGGCCGGGCCCCAGGAGCUGCUCGGUGGUCCCACUCAACUCCCUGGAAGCCGCCCGACUGCUCUACUGAAAAAGCAAGGGAGAGGGGGCCGAAAAGCCCACUGGAGGGCGCGGGAGGGAGGGCUCUGAGGUCAGCCCGGGGCCCAGGAGGCUGGUCACACGUCUGCUCUCCGGGACCCCCAGAGGCUGAUCUUAACGUCGAAUUCACCCUGCCCGCCUGGGUAACAGCGGUCGUGGAGCGUGCAGAUACAGGAGAAACAAGCGCAAAAUUAGCAUCCUUCUACAAAAACUCAGGAAUAGAAGAGUGCUGUUCCACCCAGGAUGGAACUGUGUCCUUACUGUAAGAAGCCAUUUAAACGAUUGAAAUCCCACUUGCCGCACUGUAAGAUGCUGGGAGCAACUAUGCCUGCUGAUCAAGAAAUUCAUCAGUGUGAGCCCGCUACACUCGCACGUGGUAAAAAAAUCAAAGCGCCAAUCAGGGACUCAAUUAAAGCAAAA